AAUGAACGUUGGCGGCGUGGAUUAGGCAUGCAAGUCGAGCGCGACAUGUAGCAAUACAUAGAGAGCGGCGAAAGGGAGAGUAAUACAUAGGUAAUUACCCUCGGGCCUGGGAUAGCAGCGGGAAACUGCUGGUAAUACCAGAUAACAUCUCCGGAUCAAAGGUUUACUACCCGAGGAAAUGCCUGUGUCCUAUCAGCUAGUUGGCGGGGUAAUGGCCCACCAAGGCAAAGACGGGUAUGGGGUGUGAGAGCAUGCCCCCACUCACUGGGACUGAGACACUGCCCAGACACCUACGGGUGGCUGCAGUCGAGAAUCUUCGGCAAUGGGCGAAAGCCUGACCGAGCGACGCCGCGUGCGGGAUGAAGGCCUUCGGGUUGUAAACCGCUGUCGUAGGGGAGCAAGGGGAAACCUUGAGCGAUCCUAGGAGGAAGGACCGGCUAAGUUCGUGCCAGCAGCCGCAGUAAUAC
RNAcentral lists this ribosomal RNA (467 nucleotides) under uncultured bacterium. RNAcentral describes it as "bacterial SSU rRNA". It matches the Rfam family "Bacterial small subunit ribosomal RNA", at positions 29 to 526 of the family's 1533-position model. The record is from RNAcentral.